AGUGAACGCUGGCGGUAGACCUAACACAUGCAAGUCGAACGGCAGCACAGUAAGAGCUUGCUCUUACGGGUGGAGAGUGGCGGACGGGUGAGGAAUACAUCGGAAUCUACUUUUUCGUGGGGGAUAACGUAGGGAAACUUACGCUAAUACCGCAUACGACCUACGGGUGAAAGCAGGGGAUCUUCGGACCUUGCGCGAUUGAAUGAGCCGAUGUCGGAUUAGCUAGUUGGCGGGGUAAAGGCCCACCAAGGCGACGAUCCGUAGCUGGUCUGAGAGGAUGAUCAGCCACCCUGGAACUGAGACACGGUCCAGACUCCUACGGGAGGCAGCAGUGGGGAAUAUUGGACAAUGGGCGCAAGCCUGAUCCAGCCAUACCGCGUGGGUGAAGAAGGCCUUCGGGUUGUAAAGCCCUUUUGUUGGGAAAGAAAAGCAGCAGGUUAAUACCCCGCUGUUCUGACGGUACCCAAAGAAUAAGCACCGGCUAACUUCGUG
This 492-nucleotide ribosomal RNA is filed under the name uncultured bacterium. Its description in RNAcentral is "partial 16S ribosomal RNA". It matches the Rfam family "Bacterial small subunit ribosomal RNA", at positions 29 to 507 of the family's 1533-position model. The record is from RNAcentral.